RNAcentral lists this ribosomal RNA (492 nucleotides) under uncultured bacterium. RNAcentral describes it as "partial 16S ribosomal RNA". It matches the Rfam family "Bacterial small subunit ribosomal RNA", at positions 29 to 507 of the family's 1533-position model. The record is from RNAcentral.
AGUGAACGCUGGCGGUAGGCCUAACACAUGCAAGUCGAACGGCAGCACAGUAAGAGCUUGCUCUCACGGGUGGCGAGUGGCGGACGGGUGCGGAAUACACCGGAAUCUACUUUUUCGUGGGGGAUAACGUAGGGAAACUUACGCUAAUACCGCAUACGACCUACGGGUGAAUGCAGGGGAUCUUCGUACCUUGCGCGAUUGAAAGAGCCGAUGUCGGUUUAGCUAGUUGGCGGGGUAAAGGCCCACCAAGGCAACGCUCCGUACCUGGUCUGAGAGGAUGUUCGGCCACACGGGAACAGAGCCACGGUCCAGACUCCUACGGGAGGCAGCAGUGGGGAAUACUGGACAAUGGGGGCAAGCCUGAUCCUGCCAGACCGCGUGGGUGAAGAAGGCGCCCGGGCUGUAAAGCCCUUUUCUCGGGAGCGAAAAGAAGCAUGUUAACAGGCCGCGGUUCUGACGGUACCAAAAGAAUAAGCCCCGGCUAACUUCGUG